UGGGGACGGUGUCAAAACAUUGAUUAUAGAUAAAAAUUAAAUCAUGUGCGUCUUGGUGAAUUCAAAUCACAUUUUCGUAACAUCCUAAUAUUAUGACAUUUGCUUUUGUGAUAUUGUUGACUAUCAUACGACUUGAAAGUUGUACGCGUGCAAUAGUGGGUGGGAUAGAAAAAGGGGGGUUGAGAGUUAUACAAGUUCAUUCGAUUCUAGAUUGAUUAUAUAUACAUAGUAAGCCAGUUAGACAAUAAUUGUAUUGUUGUAUUACAGUUCAUGAAAAAGUUUAAUGUAUGGCUUUAUUAAUCCC
RNAcentral lists this long non-coding RNA (304 nucleotides) under Mytilus galloprovincialis (Mediterranean mussel). Lineage: Eukaryota; Metazoa; Mollusca; Bivalvia; Mytilida; Mytilidae. The record is from RNAcentral.